Non-coding RNA from Mycena latifolia, 94 nucleotides. The record is from the annotation of a GenBank genome assembly. Lineage: Eukaryota; Fungi; Basidiomycota; Agaricomycetes; Agaricales; Mycenaceae.
GGUCCAGUGGCGAAGUGGUUCGCGUCCACCUUAACUUGAUGAUAGAGAGCAAAGGUUUCUGCGGAAGGUGCCCGUUCGAUUCGGGUCUGGGCCA